CCCGGCUAACUACGUGCCAGCAGCCGCGGUAAUACGUAGGGGGCAAGCGUUGUCCGGAAUUAUUGGGCGUAAAGCGCGCGCAGGCGGUUCCUUAAGUCUGAUGUGAAAGGCCACAGCUCAACUGUGGAGGGCCAUUGGAAACUGGGGAACUUGAGGACAGAAGAGGAGAGCGGAAUUCCACGUGUAGCGGUGAAAUGCGUAGAUAUGUGGAGGAACACCAGUGGCGAAGGCGGCUCUCUGGUCUGUAACUGACGCUGAGGCGCGAAAGCAUGGGUAGCGAACAGGAUUAGAUACCCUGGUAGUCCAUGCCGUAAACGUUGAGUGCUAGGUGUUAGGGGGUCCAACCCUUAGUGCUGCAGUUAACGCAAUAAGCACUCCGCCUGGGGAGUACGGCCGCAAGGCUGAAACUCAAAGGAAUUGACGGGGGCCUGCACAAGCGGUGGAGCAUGUGGUUUAAUUCGACGCAACGCGAAGAACCUUACCAGGUCUUGACAUCUUCGGACAGCCAAGAGAUUGGGUCUUCCCUUCGGGGACCGAAUGACAGGUGGUGCAUGGUUGUCGUCAGCUCGUGUCGUGAGAUGUUGGGUUAAGUCCCGUAACGAGCGCAACCCCUGAUCUUAGUUGCCAGCAUUUAGUUGGGCACUCUAGGAUGACUGCCGGUGACAAACCGGAGGAAGGCGGGGAUGACGUCAAAUCAUCAUGCCCCUUAUGACCUGGGCUACACACGUGCUACAAUGGAUGGUACAAAGGGAAGCCAAACCGCGAGGUCGAGCUAAUCCCAUAAAGCCAUUCUCAGUUCGGAUUGUAGGCUGCAACUCGCCUGCAUGAAGCCGGAAUCGCUAGUAAUCGCGGAUCAGAAUGCCGCGGUGAAUACGUUCCCAGGCCUUGUACACACCGCCCGUCACACCACGAGAGUUGGCAACACCCGAAGUCGGUGGGGUAACCUUCACGGAGCCAGCCGCCGAAG
Molecule: ribosomal RNA, 967 nt
Filed under: Alkalibacillus salilacus
Lineage: Bacteria; Bacillati; Bacillota; Bacilli; Caryophanales; Bacillaceae
Description: bacterial SSU rRNA
Rfam family: Bacterial small subunit ribosomal RNA
Source: RNAcentral